UGAGAAGGGAUUUACAGCAUUGGGACAGUGCUCUACAACUGGCAAAGCAUUUGGCCCCAGACCAGAUACCUUUUAUAUCAAAAGAAUAUGCUAUUCAGCUUGAAUUCGCUUUGCCACAUUUCUGUUCCUUAUAAAUGCCUAUACCAAAAAGUGAUGUUGGAAUCUUAGUACAUAACACAAGAGGCAGAGCCCCAUUGCCCUGGCCCUCCACCUGCAUCCUGAGGAUGACUGAGUCUUAGAAUAUAAAACUUCUGUGCUAAGAAGGAAAGAUGAUCCACCAAGUCCUGUCAGAGUACAGACACCCCAGUAAGCCCUCGGACCAUCCAGAACUCUUCGAUUUUCACUUCCUUCAGGAAAAUUGAAGUUUUGUAACAAAUUCUCAAACUUGUCUCAUUAUGGUCAGAUGAAUUGAGUUCAAUUGAAA
Molecule: small RNA, 424 nt
Filed under: Pan troglodytes (chimpanzee)
Lineage: Eukaryota; Metazoa; Chordata; Mammalia; Primates; Hominidae
Description: processed transcript
Source: RNAcentral